AGANCGCAGCGAAAUGCGAUACCUAGUGUGAAUUGCAGAAUUCCGCGAAUCAUCGAGUCUUUGAACGCAUAUUGCGCCCGAGGCUCGCGCCGAGGGCACGUCUGUCUGAGCGUCA
Molecule: ribosomal RNA, 115 nt
Filed under: Riccia abdita
Lineage: Eukaryota; Viridiplantae; Streptophyta; Marchantiopsida; Marchantiales; Ricciaceae
Description: partial 5.8S ribosomal RNA
Rfam family: 5.8S ribosomal RNA
About the family: 5.8S ribosomal RNA (5.8S rRNA) is a component of the large subunit of the eukaryotic ribosome. It is transcribed by RNA polymerase I as part of the 45S precursor that also contains 18S and 28S rRNA.
Source: RNAcentral